This 396-nucleotide ribosomal RNA is filed under the name uncultured bacterium. RNAcentral's name for it is "partial 16S ribosomal RNA". It matches the Rfam family "Bacterial small subunit ribosomal RNA", at positions 523 to 918 of the family's 1533-position model. The record is from RNAcentral.
AUACGUAGGGGGCAAGCGUUAUCCGGAUUUACUGGGUGUAAAGGGAGCGUAGACGGCAAAGCAAGUCUGAAGUGAAAGCCCCGGGCUCAACCCGGGAAUUGCUUUGGAAACUGUUUAGCUGGAGUGCAGGAGAGGUAAGCGGAAUUCCUAGUGUAGCGGUGAAAUGCGUAGAUAUUAGGAGGAACACCGGCGGCGAAGGCGGCUUACUGGACUGUAACUGACGUUGAGGCUCGAAGGCGUGGGGAGCAAACAGGAUUAGAUACCCUGGUAGUCCACGCCGUAAACGAUGAUUACUAGGUGUUGGUUGUCAUAGACAAUCGGUGCCGCAGCAAACGCAAUAAGUAAUCCACCUGGGGAGUACGUUCGCAAGAAUGAAACUCAAAGGAAUCGACGGGG